GAUGAACGCUAGCGACAGGCCUAACACAUGCAAGUCGAGGGGCAGCACAAGGAGCAAUCUGAGGUGGCGACCGGCGCACGGGUGAGUAACACGUAUGCAACCUACCUGUAAGAGGGGAAUAACCCGUUGAAAACGGACUAAUACCGCAUAACACUGUAGAACCGCAUGGUUUGACAGUUAAACAUUUAUGGCUUACAGAUGGGCAUGCGCAUGAUUAGCUAGUUGGUGAGGUAACGGCUCACCAAGGCAACGAUCAUUAGGGGUUCUGAGAGGAAGGUCCCCCACACUGGUACUGAGACACGGACCAGACUCCUACGGGAGGCAGCAGUGAGGAAUAUUGGUCAAUGGGCGAGAACCUGAACCAGCCAAGUCGCGUGAAGGAUGAAGGUUUUAUGAAUUGUAAACUUCUUUUGCAGGGGAAUAAAGUGUCCGACGUGUCGGAUUUUGUAUGUACUCUGCGAAUAAGGAUCGGCUAACUCCGUGCCAGCAGCCGAC
This 495-nucleotide ribosomal RNA is filed under the name uncultured bacterium. RNAcentral's name for it is "bacterial SSU rRNA". It matches the Rfam family "Bacterial small subunit ribosomal RNA", at positions 28 to 518 of the family's 1533-position model. The record is from RNAcentral.